GAAUUUUGGUCAAUGGGCGAAAGCCUGAUCCAGCAAUGCCGCGUGCAGGAUGAAGGCCUUCGGGUUGUAAACUGCUUUUGUACGGAACGAAAUGCUUGGGGUUAAUACCCCGGCGUCAUGCUCGUACCGUAAGAAUAAGCACCGGCUAACUACUUGCCAGCAGUCGCGGUAAUACGUAUGGUGCAAGCGUUAAACGGAAUUACUGGGCGGAAAGCGGGCGCAGGCGGUUUUGUAAGACAGAGGUGAAAUCCCCGGGCUCAACCUGGGAAAUGCCUUUGUGACUGCAAGGCUAGAGUACGGCAGAGGGGGGUGGAAUUCCGCGUGUAGCAGUGAAAUGCGUAGAUAUGCGGAGGAACACCGAUGGCGAAGGCAACCCCCUGGGCCUGUACUGACGCUCAUGCACGAAAGCGUGGGGAGCAAACAGG
This 425-nucleotide ribosomal RNA is filed under the name uncultured bacterium. RNAcentral describes it as "partial 16S ribosomal RNA". It matches the Rfam family "Bacterial small subunit ribosomal RNA", at positions 359 to 776 of the family's 1533-position model. The record is from RNAcentral.